This 511-nucleotide ribosomal RNA is filed under the name uncultured bacterium. RNAcentral's name for it is "partial 16S ribosomal RNA". It matches the Rfam family "Bacterial small subunit ribosomal RNA", at positions 28 to 507 of the family's 1533-position model. The record is from RNAcentral.
GACAAACGCUGGCGGUAUGCCUAACACAUGCAAGUCGAACGGACAGAACAGGUAAGCUUUUCGGAGUGGAACUGGAAAGUUAGUGGCGGAUGGGUGAGUAACGCGUGGACAACCUACCUUGUAAAGGGGAAUAACCUCUAGAAAUCGAAGCUAAUACCCCAUAAUAACCUUGCUUCGCAUGAAGUAAGGAGGAAAGGCGGCCUUAGCGCUGUCGAUACAAGAUGGGUCCGCGUCUGAUUAGCUAGUUGGUGAGGUAAAGGCUCACCAAGGCGACGAUCAGUAGCCGGCCUGAGAGGGUGAACGGCCACAUUGGGACUGAGACACGGACCAAACUCCUACGGGAGGCAGCAGUGGGGAAUCUUCCGCAAUGGGCGAAAGCCUGACGGAGCAAUGCCGAGUGAGUGAAGAAGGCCUUCGGGUUGUAAAACUCUGUCCUUAUCGAAGAGAGCGUGUUGUAGUAACUGACAAUAAUAGGACGGUAGAUGAGGAGGAAGCCCCGGCUAACUAUGUG